GGAUCCUUUGUUGAGGAGCAGGAGGCCAUCAGAGAGAGGCAGCGUCAGAUUACAAACUAGAAGUAUGACUGGUACCACCAGGCAAAGGAACACAACAAAGGUGUGUCUGUCUGGUGCCAGCGGACCUGCAGGAUUAUCAUCCAUGAGUAAUGGAGAGCUCUGAACGACACACUCAAAUGCCUCACGCGUUUUCCUAACACUUCUGGGCUCUCCAGAUCCUAGUACUUGGGAAAGUAUGUCUGGAUUCCUCGCCAUGACAGAGAAAAAGGAACAGGGAAAGCCAAGAGGACCCUGUGUGGUGAACCCAGGUUGUCCAGAUACUGCGGAGGAAGUCAGAAGAGGACUGUCGGAAGCUGAGUAUUCAAACAAACCUGAGAAAGGUAAACACUUUGGCUGCCCUCAUCCCUGCUUCCCUUCCCCCAAUUCCUUCAGCCCUGCCCCCAUUCCUUUGGCCCAGUCCCCAUCACUCAGCCCACCUUGCUCCCCAAUCUAGGAUGGCUAAAGAAGGGGCGGAGCUAUGGCUGUGUGAGGUCAAGAUCAGAGUCUGACUAUGACCAAUUAAGACUGAACUUUCUGUCACAAGAAGGUUAUUGAGCUUUCUACUUAAAAUGUGAGCUGAUAGGUUAUACAAACGCAGCAUAGUUGGAAGUGGGAGUACAAUACGGUGGAGGGAUCAUUUUUUUGUGAAAAUGUGUUUCUAAAUUUGAAUUUCACAGUUUUAAAUAAAACCGAAUUUCCUUCUG
Hypomesus transpacificus is the source of this 743-nucleotide long non-coding RNA. RefSeq lists it as uncharacterized. The transcript is spliced from 5 exons. The record is from RefSeq and is a predicted model, not a curated record. Lineage: Eukaryota; Metazoa; Chordata; Actinopteri; Osmeriformes; Osmeridae.